UGGAGCUGUAAAUGGGAAGCAGGUCACUUACUUUGCAUUCGUCCUUGGUGGUCACCCCAGGGUCUCUAGAGUGAAAAUGACUCAAUCUAUGGUUUAAACAGAACAUUUUGUUGUAUGAAGUGCAAUUUGGGACAUUCUUCCAGUUGUCGGCAACUUUGUGAAAAAGGCAGAAUUCUGGCCUGGUGUUUGGUCUGUGCUGUCUUUGGCUCUUGCAUCUCCAUCAUCCUGACCCUCUUUAGCAGCCUGUCCAUGUAUUUAUUUGGAGGCCACGAUGAGCACCCAUCUGCAUAAUAUGACUUUGUUACUCAGAUGUCCAUGCGCUCCUACAAAUUCUACAUUUUUUGUAAAGCUGCAACAAGUUGAAACCCUAUAAUUAUUAACGUUUGAUUUUGAACUAUGUAAUUCAAAUACAUGAAUAAGUAACAAAAGCAGAAAUCUAUUAAGACAUUACCUUUUUGUUGCUUGUUUACUGAUCUAUCAAUCUUUUUGCAUUUUCAUAAUUGAUCAUCAUAACUUGGUAUACAGUGGU
Non-coding RNA from Paramisgurnus dabryanus, 529 nucleotides. NCBI's taxonomy places the organism in Eukaryota, Metazoa, Chordata, Actinopteri, Cypriniformes, Cobitidae. The record is from RefSeq and is a predicted model, not a curated record.